GAUGAACGCUGGCGGCGUGCCUAAUACAUGCAAGUCGAGCGAACAGACGAGGAGCUUGCUCCUCUGACGUUAGCGGCGGACGGGUGAGUAACACGUGGAUAACCUACCUAUAAGACUGGGAUAACUUCGGGAAACCGGAGCUAAUACCGGAUAAUAUAUUGAACCGCAUGGUUCAAUAGUGAAAGACGGUUUUGCUGUCACUUAUAGAUGGAUCCGCGCCGCAUUAGCUAGUUGGUAAGGUAACGGCUUACCAAGGCGACGAUGCGUAGCCGACCUGAGAGGGUGAUCGGCCACACGGGAACUGAGACACGGUCCAGACCCCUACGGGAGGCAGCAGUAGGGAAUCUUCCGCAAUGGGCGAAAGCCUGACGGAGCAACGCCGGGGGAGUGGUGAAGGUCUUCGGAUCGUAAAACUCUGUUAUUGGGGAAGAACAAAUGUGUAAGUAACUAUGCACGUCUUGACGGUACCUAAUCAGAAAGCCCCGGCUAACUACGU
This 496-nucleotide ribosomal RNA is filed under the name uncultured bacterium. RNAcentral's name for it is "partial 16S ribosomal RNA". It matches the Rfam family "Bacterial small subunit ribosomal RNA", at positions 28 to 506 of the family's 1533-position model. The record is from RNAcentral.